Molecule: unclassified non-coding RNA, 430 nt
Filed under: soil metagenome
Description: partial contains 5.8S ribosomal RNA, internal transcribed spacer 2, and large subunit ribosomal RNA
Rfam family: 5.8S ribosomal RNA (bases 1-120)
Source: RNAcentral
GAUGAAGAACGUAGCGAAAUGCGAUACGUAAUGUGAAUUGCAGAAUUCAGUGAAUCAUCGAAUCUUUGAACGCAUAUUGCGCUCUCUGGUAUUCCGGAGAGCAUGCUUGUUUGAGUAUCAGUAAACACCUCAACUCCCCUUUCUUUUUUGAAAUGGGAGCUGGACUUGAGUGAUCCCAACGCUUUUCUCACCGAAAAGUGGCGGGUUACUUGAAAUGCAGGUGCAGCUGGACUUUUCUCUGAGCUAAAAGCAUAUCUAUUUAGUCUGCCUAAAAACAGAUUAUUACCUUUGCUGCAGCUAACAUAAAGGAGAUUAGUUCUUGUGCUGACUGAUGCAGGAUUCACAGAGACAGCUUCGGCUGGCCUUUGUAAACUCGAUCUCAAAUCAAGUAAGACUACCCGCUGAACUUAAGCAUAUCAAUAACGGAGGA